GGCGCGUUCGUCUAGUGGCUUAGGACAUCGCCCUCUCAAGGCGGGGAUCGCGGGUUCUCCCAAAGGGAUUCCUUCGGAAGAAUCCCGCACGCGCUA
Ignavibacteria bacterium is the source of this 96-nucleotide non-coding RNA. The record is from Rfam. Lineage: Bacteria; Pseudomonadati; Ignavibacteriota; Ignavibacteria.